AAUGAACGCUGGCGGCGUGCCUAACACAUGCAAGUCGAGCGAGAAAGUCCCCUUCGGGGGGCGAGUAAAGCGGCGCACGGGUGAGUAACGCGUGGGUAACCUGCCCUUGAGUGGGGGAUAACCAGCCGAAAGGCUGACUAAUCCCGCAUACGACCGGCAGACACAAGUCUGUCGGGGAAAGAUGGCCUCUGCUUGCAAGCUAUCGCUCUUGGAUGGGCCCGCGUUGGAUUAGGCUAGUUGGUGGGUAACGGCUACCAAGGCUGCGAUCCAUAGCUGGUUUGAGAGGACGACCAGCCACACUGGAACUGAGACACGGUCCAGACUCCUACGGGAGCAGCAGUGAGGAAUAUUGCGCAAUGGGGGAAACCCUGACGCAGCGACGCCGUGUGAGCGAUGAAGGCCUUCGGGCGUAAAGCUCUGUCAGAGGGAAAGAAAGGGUCGGCGGAAUAAUACCCGCGACAUUGACGGUACCCUCGGAGGAAGCACCGGCUAACCCGUGCC
RNAcentral lists this ribosomal RNA (501 nucleotides) under uncultured bacterium. RNAcentral's name for it is "bacterial SSU rRNA". It matches the Rfam family "Bacterial small subunit ribosomal RNA", at positions 29 to 509 of the family's 1533-position model. The record is from RNAcentral.